CAACCUGCCGUUUACUCUUGGACAGCCUUCUGAAAGGAAGAUUAAUCCAGGAUGGCAUCAUGAGCCCACAUGUUCUCAUGAUUAAAGGUAUUCCGGUAGACGAUGGGGAUGCGUUCCAUUAGAUAGUAGGCGGGGUAACGGCCCACCUAGUCGACGAUGGAUAGGGGUUCUGAGAGGAAGGUCCCCCACAUUGGAACUGAGACACGGUCUAAACUCCUACGGGAGGCAGCAGUGAGGAAUAUUGGUCAAUGGGCGAGAGCCUGAACCAGCCAAGUAGCGUGAAGGAUGACUGCCCUAUGGGUUGUAAACUUCUUUUAUAAAGGAAUAAAGUCGGGUAUGCAUACCCGUUUGCAUGUACUUUAUGAAUAAGGAUCGGCUAACUCCGUGCCAGCAGCCGCGGUAAUACGGAGGAUCCGAGCGUUAUCCGGAUUUAUUGGGUUUAAAGGGAGCGUAGAUGGAUGUUUAAGUCAGUUGUGAAAGUUUGCGGCUCAACCGUAAAAUUGCAGUUGAUACUGGAUGUCUUGAGUUCAGUUGAGGCAGGCGGAAUUCGUGGUGUAGCGGUGAAAUGCUUAGAUAUCACGAAGAACUCCGAUUGCGAAGGCAGCCUGCUAAUCUGCGACUGACAUUGAGGCUCGAAAGUGUGGGUAUCAAACAGGAUUAGAUACCCUGGUAGUCCACACGGUAAACGAUGAAUACUCGCUGUUUGCGAUAUACAGCAAGCGGCCAAGCGAAAGCGUUAAGUAUUCCACCUGGGGAGUAC
Molecule: ribosomal RNA, 760 nt
Filed under: uncultured bacterium
Lineage: Bacteria
Description: bacterial SSU rRNA
Rfam family: Bacterial small subunit ribosomal RNA
Source: RNAcentral